GGUUAAGUUAGAAAGGGCGCACGGUGGAUGCCUUGGCACUAGGAGCCGAUGAAGGACGGGACGAACACCGAUAUGCUUCGGGGAGCUGUAAGCAAGCUUUGAUCCGGAGAUUUCCGAAUGGGGAAACCCACCACUCGUAAUGGAGUGGUAUCCAUAUCUGAAUACAUAGGAUAUGAGAAGGCAGACCCGGGGAACUGAAACAUCUAAGUACCCGGAGGAAGAGAAAGCAAAUGCGAUUCCCUGAGUAGCGGCGAGCGAAACGGGACCAGCCCAAACCAAGAGGCUUGCCUCUUGGGGUUGUAGGACACUCUGUACGGAGUUACAAAGGGACGAGGUAGAUGAAGAGGUCUGGAAAGGCCCGCCAUAGGAGGUAACAGCCCUGUAGUCAAAACUUCGUUCUCUCCUGAGUGGAUCCUGAGUACGGCGGAACACGUGAAAUUCCGUCGGAAUCCGGGAGGACCAUCUCCCAAGGCUAAAUACUCCCUAGUGACCGAUAGUGAACCAGUACCGUGAGGGAAAGGUGAAAAGCACCCCGGAAGGGGAGUGAAAGAGAUCCUGAAACCGUGUGCCUACAAGUAGUCAGAGCCCGUUAACGGGUGAUGGCGUGCCUUUUGUAGAAUGAACCGGCGAGUUACGAUCCCGUGCAAGGUUAAGCAGAAGAUGCGGAGCCGCAGCGAAAGCGAGUCUGAAUAGGGCGAAUUGAGUACGUGGUCGUAGACCCGAAACCAGGUGAUCUACCCAUGUCCAGGGUGAAGUUCAGGUAACACUGAAUGGAGGCCCGAACCCACGCACGUUGAAAAGUGCGGGGAUGAGGUGUGGGUAGGGGUGAAAUGCCAAUCGAACCUGGAGAUAGCUGGUUCUCUCCGAAAUAGCUUUAGGGCUAGCCUCAAGGUAAGAGUCUCGGAGGUAGAGCACUGAUUGGACUAGGGGCCCCUACCGGGUUACCGAAUUCAGUCAAACUCCGAAUGCCGAUGACUUAUCCUUGGGAGUCAGACUGCGAGUGAUAAGAUCCGUAGUCGAAAGGGAAACAGCCCAGACCGCCAGCUAAGGUCCCAAAGUAUACGUUAAGUGGAAAAGGAUGUGGAGUUGCUUAGACAACCAGGAUGUUGGCUUAGAAGCAGCCACCAUUUAAAGAGUGCGUAAUAGCUCACUGGUCGAGUGACUCUGCGCCGAAAAUGUACCGGGGCUAAACGUAUCACCGAAGCUGCGGACUGUUCUUCGAACAGUGGUAGGAGAGCGUUCUAAGGGCUGUGAAGCAAGACCGGAAGGACUUGUGGAGCGCUUAGAAGUGAGAAUGCCGGUAUGAGUAGCGAAAGAGGGGUGAGAAUCCCCUCCACCGAAUGCCUAAGGUUUCCUGAGGAAGGCUCGUCCGCUCAGGGUUAGUCGGGACCUAAGCCGAGGCCGAAAGGCGUAGGCGAUGGAUAACAGGUUGAUAUUCCUGUACCACCUCCUCACCAUUUGAGCAAUGGGGGGACGCAGGAGGAUAGGGUAAGCGCGGUAUUGGAUAUCCGCGUCCAAGCAGUUAGGCUGGGAAAUAGGCAAAUCCGUUUCCCGUGAAGGCUGAGCUGUGAUGGCGAGCGAAUUAUAGUAGCGAAGUUCCUGAUUCCACACUGCCAAGAAAAGCCUCUAGCGAGGUGAGAGGUGCCCGUACCGCAAACCGACACAGGUAGGCGAGGAGAGAAUCCUAAGGUGAUCGAGAGAACUCUCGUUAAGGAACUCGGCAAAAUGACCCCGUAACUUCGGGAGAAGGGGUGCUCUGUUAGGGUGCAAGCCCGAGAGAGCCGCAGUGAAUAGGCCCAGGCGACUGUUUAGCAAAAACACAGGUCUCUGCGAAGCCGUAAGGCGAAGUAUAGGGGCUGACGCCUGCCCGGUGCUGGAAGGUUAAGAGGAGCGCUUAGCGUAAGCGAAGGUGCGAAUUGAAGCCCCAGUAAACGGCGGCCGUAACUAUAACGGUCCUAAGGUAGCGAAAUUCCUUGUCGGGUAAGUUCCGACCCGCACGAAAGGCGCAACGAUCUGGGCACUGUCUCAACGAGAGACUCGGUGAAAUUAUAGUACCUGUGAAGAUGCAGGUUACCCGCGACAGGACGGAAAGACCCCGUGGAGCUUUACUGCAGCCUGAUAUUGAAUGUUGGUACAGCUUGUACAGGAUAGGUAGGAGCCUUGGAAACCGGAGCGCCAGCUUCGGUGGAGGCAUCGGUGGGAUACUACCCUGGCUGUAUUGACCUUCUAACCCGCCGCCCUUAUCGGGCGGGGAGACAGUGUCAGGUGGGCAGUUUGACUGGGGCGGUCGCCUCCUAAAAGGUAACGGAGGCGCCCAAAGGUUCCCUCAGAAUGGUUGGAAAUCAUUCGCAGAGUGUAAAGGCACAAGGGAGCUUGACUGCGAGACCUACAAGUCGAGCAGGGACGAAAGUCGGGCUUAGUGAUCCGGUGGUUCCGCAUGGAAGGGCCAUCGCUCAACGGAUAAAAGCUACCCCGGGGAUAACAGGCUUAUCUCCCCCAAGAGUCCACAUCGACGGGGAGGUUUGGCACCUCGAUGUCGGCUCAUCGCAUCCUGGGGCUGUAGUCGGUCCCAAGGGUUGGGCUGUUCGCCCAUUAAAGCGGUACGCGAGCUGGGUUCAGAACGUCGUGAGACAGUUCGGUCCCUAUCCGUCGCGGGCGCAGGAAAUUUGAGAGGAGCUGUCCUUAGUACGAGAGGACCGGGAUGGACGCACCGCUGGUGUACCAGUUGUUCUGCCAAGGGCAUCGCUGGGUAGCUAUGUGCGGACGGGAUAAGUGCUGAAAGCAUCUAAGCAUGAAGCCCCCUCAAGAUGAGAUUUCCCAUUCCGCAAGGAAGUAAGAUCCCUGAAAGAUGAUCAGGUUGAUAGGUCUGAGGUGGAAGUGUGGCGACACAUGGAGCUGACAGAUACUAAUCGAUCGAGGACUUAACCAA
Molecule: ribosomal RNA, 2929 nt
Filed under: Bacillus velezensis
Lineage: Bacteria; Bacillati; Bacillota; Bacilli; Caryophanales; Bacillaceae
Description: 23S ribosomal RNA
Rfam family: Bacterial large subunit ribosomal RNA
Source: RNAcentral